Molecule: non-coding RNA, 29 nt
Filed under: Rattus norvegicus (Norway rat)
Lineage: Eukaryota; Metazoa; Chordata; Mammalia; Rodentia; Muridae
Source: RNAcentral
UAAAAUGAGUUGAGGGUAGAGCUCUGAUA